Clarias gariepinus (North African catfish) is the source of this 1063-nucleotide long non-coding RNA. RefSeq lists it as uncharacterized. The transcript is spliced from 3 exons. The record is from RefSeq and is a predicted model, not a curated record. Lineage: Eukaryota; Metazoa; Chordata; Actinopteri; Siluriformes; Clariidae.
UUUUAAGGCCCUUUGUGUUUUGACCAAUUUUUAUUUUUCUAUUUGUUUUUUUUUUUAACAGGAUUAAAAGGAUUUUAUUUAAAUUCUGCAGAAACCAAGGCUGUUUCUUGUUGUUGUGCUUUUUUUUCAUGUUUUUGUCAUUUUUUCGUGGUUAAUUCAUUAUAAAAUUGACUCUGAACAUGAAUGAGGAUUUCGUUUAUACAAAAAUCCGAUCUCAGACACGGCCAGACUGUAACGUCAUAAUGAUCGGGUUCCUGCUUCACGGCUCUGUGGCUCGCCAUCCGCAGAUCUGCAUCUUGGGCCUGGCACAAGCUCAGAGACGUGUUCGGGGUUCGAGAUGAUGAUGAUGUUAAACUGUCAGUGGAGGAAAGUGAACCUGGAUGGAGCUCAGUGCGUCCGUUUUACACCAACUACGGUACCUUUGGCGUGUGAGGCACUAAUUAGAAGGCAGAAGAGUCAGCAGAAGUUUCCAAGUGUGGUUUCAAGUGUCAGGCAGAAAGAAGAAAGCAGCAUCUAACUGCUGAAGAAACAUCAGGGCUGAGAAAGCACACAACUAAAAACCCUUUGCUUUAGAGAUCACGGUCUUCACAGCUCUGGUGCAUUUUUCAGAAGAUAAAUAUUUGAGAUGGAGUGAAUGGAAUGACAUGAAGGCACAGAUGCAGCUGUCUAUUUAGGUAUUUGAACAAGGAUUUUGGUUUGUUUCUGUUUAGGAUAAAUGUUAAAAAGGCCCAUCUUAAAUGUUUAGCCAUGCCCAGCCAUUAACUGAUCAGUAGCAAUAUCAUAUACAUUGUAGUAAGUAGAGAAAUAAUAAACCGUCUCUCAUAUGGUUUUUAAAUGACUUUAAACAAUACUUCAUGCUACUUAAGAAACUGAAAUCAAGCAAAUCAGUAAGGAUCUGUGAUGACGUUUCUCAUUUUUUACUGUUUUGAUUCAUGCCUCCAGUGCCGUGCUCUCUCUGUUAUUGUGCACUUAAUUUUUAUUACUGUGAAUCCUUUUAGCCCCCUUUCGUUCCUUUCUUUAUUUUGUCAUGGUAUUCUCAGAAUUGAAUGUUGAUUUGUUUUAU